AAUAAGGAGAGGAAGACCCCCACUAAACCGAGCGGCCCAGGAUAAUUUACUUCGAGAGGAUGUAGACAGGCUAUUUGAGAUGAUGGAAGGAUUCAUAGCUGCCCAGCAAGGGCGAGAGGAGAGAAGGGAGUUACACAACCCUCCUCCACUACCGCAGGUUGAGCCUCCGCUACAGCAGGCUGAUCCCGAGCCACCCCGGCACGAGUCUGCUCCUCCACAGUACCACCCGGC
Molecule: long non-coding RNA, 231 nt
Filed under: Carica papaya (papaya)
Lineage: Eukaryota; Viridiplantae; Streptophyta; Magnoliopsida; Brassicales; Caricaceae
Description: long non-coding RNA (CPAP_LNC012113)
Source: RNAcentral